This 367-nucleotide ribosomal RNA is filed under the name uncultured Desulfocapsa sp. RNAcentral describes it as "bacterial SSU rRNA". It matches the Rfam family "Bacterial small subunit ribosomal RNA", at positions 1014 to 1382 of the family's 1533-position model. Lineage: Bacteria; Pseudomonadati; Thermodesulfobacteriota; Desulfobulbia; Desulfobulbales; Desulfocapsaceae. The record is from RNAcentral.
CCUCGCAAGAGGAACUUGGUGACAGGUGCUGCAUGGCUGUCGUCAGCUCGUGUCGUGAGAUGUUGGGUAAGUCCCGCAACGAGCGCAACCCUUGUCUUUAGUUGCCAUCAUUAAGUUGGGCACUCUAAAGAGACUGCCGGUGUCAAACCGGAGGAAGGUGGGGAUGACGUCAAGUCCUCAUGGCCUUUAUGACCAGGGCUACACACGUACUACAAUGGCAGGUACAAAGGGCAGCCACUUAGCGAUAAGGAGCGAAUCCCGUAAAACCUGUCUCAGUCCGGAUUGGAGUCUGCAACUCGACUCCAUGAAGUUGGAAUCGCUAGUAAUCGCAGAUCAGCACGCUGCGGUGAAUACGUUCCCGGGCCUU